AGUUGCAAGUUCAAGGCCAUAGCAGAAGCACUCAUGGUACAGCCCUGUCAGAUUCCAAUGAAUCUGCAAAUUCUGCU
RNAcentral lists this long non-coding RNA (77 nucleotides) under Crocodylus porosus (Australian saltwater crocodile). RNAcentral's name for it is "Mammalian CPEB3 ribozyme (ENSCPRG00005001930.1)". It matches the Rfam family "Mammalian CPEB3 ribozyme". From Rfam's summary of the family: The mammalian CPEB3 ribozyme is a self cleaving RNA located in the second intron of the CPEB3 gene which belongs to a family of genes regulating messenger RNA polyadenylation. This ribozyme is highly conserved and found only in mammals. There is currently only one other known self cleaving ribozyme in mammals, the CoTC motif. The record is from Rfam by way of RNAcentral. Lineage: Eukaryota; Metazoa; Chordata; Crocodylia; Crocodylidae.